CCUACGGGGGGCAGCAGUAGGGAAUCUUCCACAAUGGGCGAAAGCCUGAUGGAGCAACGCCGCGUGGGUGAAGAAGGUCUUCGGAUCGUAAAACCCUGUUGUUAGAGAAGAAAGUGCGUGAGAGUAACUGUUCACGUUUCGACGGUAUCUAACCAGAAAGCCACGGCUAACUACGUGCCAGCAGCCGCGGCAAUACGUAGGUGGCGAGCGUUAUCCGGAUUUAUUGGGCGUAAAGGGAACGCAGGCGGUCAUUUAAGGCAGCGGUCAAAGCCCGGGGCUCAACCCCGGCCCGCCGUUGAAACUGG
Molecule: ribosomal RNA, 305 nt
Filed under: uncultured bacterium
Lineage: Bacteria
Description: bacterial SSU rRNA
Rfam family: Bacterial small subunit ribosomal RNA
Source: RNAcentral